UUCAUUAACCGUUGCAAAGUCAGAAUUUAGGUACAAAAGAUAAUAAAUUUGCUGUCAAUCUUUUUUAGUCAGUUUUUACAGAAGUAGAAUAAUUCAAUAGAAAAACUUUAUAAACAUGUGUUGGAUGGGCUGGGCAUUUGUUUUAUCUCUAUUUUCAUACCUCGUCCUAACGUCACCACAGAGAAAUUGGUGAAAAGACAUGGGCGGCAAUUUUUUUUUAAUGGAGAAGAUCUUCAGACCUGUGUUUUGAAGAAAUUAAUAAAGAUUUUUUUUUUAAUUUUUUUAGAGGGGUUUUUUCACGGACUGAUCAACCCCAUCGUACUUUAUACGUACAAUAUAAACACACAUAAAAUAAACAUACAUGAUUAGACAUCCUUGCUAAAUUAUAUAAUGUUAUUGCUGUUUCAGUUUUAGGAUUCACUAAAAUAAUUUGUACGGGCCCAACAACAUCUAAAAUUUUUGAGUAAUCAGUGAGUCCAUAUCAUUGUUUGGUUUUGAUAUAAUCCAUCGACAAAUGUUCUAAAUAUCAAAUAGGCAAUUUACACAUCAAAAAGGCAAACUUUGCUGACGCAUAGUGCCCAGAACGAAGUCUUAGGGCUAGCUUAACAUAGCUUAGCAUUGUUAAACCAUACAAGCAGACUCACUAUGAAAAUUAAGAACGUUUAAAAAUGUAGUCUAAUCACCAUAUGUUUGUAAAAAUAUAAAAAAACUGAAAUAAAUCAUAAAUCCUUUCAAUUUC
Long non-coding RNA from Spodoptera frugiperda (fall armyworm), 739 nucleotides. RefSeq lists it as uncharacterized. The record is from RefSeq and is a predicted model, not a curated record. The transcript is spliced from 2 exons. Lineage: Eukaryota; Metazoa; Arthropoda; Insecta; Lepidoptera; Noctuidae.